UGUGUUUGUGCCCCUGAAAAAGGGAUGGGCCCCUGGAAAAAUGAGAAGUGGAUUUGACAGUCACCCUGUUUUUCUAUAAAAAGGCAAUGAAUGCUGACUAAUGUGUUGGUUCGUUUGCAGGUCCAGGUGCUGGAGGCUUUGAUAGCCCUGCAGAAACUCCGCCUUUCGUCACCAGCUUAAGAGAGAAGAAAAAUCAGCCAUAGUCCAGAGGAUGGAAGCCAGCCUCACGGAGGAAGACUUUUCUACGGAUGAGGAGGAGAAAGAAACAGAGGAAAGUGAUGAGGUCCUCAGUAUUUCGGAUCUCACUGUUUCAGAGGACUCUGAUGAAGAUGAUCCAAGAUUUUUGGAAGGUGGCAGAUCGGGGCAACUGGAUUUUGCUAGGGAGCACGGUUUGGUCAAGGAAGAACAGCCUAGUUAUGAGCCGGGGACAUCUGGAGUGAGAACAAAACCAAAAAGUUUCCUUCUGCCAGAUCCUGAGGACAUCCAGAGCUCUGAGGAAGAUGUAUCGCUGAAGUCUCUGGAAAAGACAGUUGCCAAGAUACGCAGUGUCCUGUGGAAGUGCCGAGGACUCCCUCUGAAAACCAAGUGUUUCCUGAGCUAACAAGUCCACUCCUGAUUGGCUGGCUGAAGGUCCAGGUGCUGGAGGCUUUGAUAGCCCUGCAGAAACUCCGCCUUUCGUCACCAGCUUAAGAGAGAAGAAAAAUCAGCCAUAGUCCAGAGGAUGGAAGCCAGCCUCACGGAGGAAGACUUUUCUACGGAUGAGGAGGAGAAAGAAACAGAGGAAAGUGAUGAGGUCCUCAGUAUUUCGGAUCUCACUGUUUCAGAGGACUCUGAUGAAGAUGAUCCAAGAUCGUUGGAAGGUGGCAGAUAGGGGCAAUUGGAUUUUGCUAGGGUCCAGGUGCUGGAGGCUUUGAUAGCCCUGCAGAAACUCCGCCUUUCGUCACCAGCUUAAGAGAGAAGAAAAAUCAGCCAUAGUCCAGAGGAUGGAAGCCAGCCUCACGGAGGAAGACUUUUCUACGGAUGAGGAGGAGAAAGAAACAGAGGAAAGUGAUGAGGUCCUCAGUAUUUCGGAUCUCACUGUUUCAGAGGACUCUGAUGAAGAUGAUCCAAGAUCAUUGGAAGGUGGCAGAUAGGGGCAAUUGGAUUUUGCUAGGGUGAGUUAGCCAAGUCCUCACAUUUUCAAUUUUUC
RNAcentral lists this unclassified non-coding RNA (1189 nucleotides) under Aplysia californica (California sea hare). Its description in RNAcentral is "uncharacterized LOC106013885, transcript variant X1". Lineage: Eukaryota; Metazoa; Mollusca; Gastropoda; Aplysiida; Aplysiidae. The record is from RNAcentral.